This 214-nucleotide ribosomal RNA is filed under the name Coniella limoniformis. RNAcentral's name for it is "partial large subunit ribosomal RNA". Lineage: Eukaryota; Fungi; Ascomycota; Sordariomycetes; Diaporthales; Schizoparmaceae. The record is from RNAcentral.
AAGCGUUCAUGACCAGACUUGUGCUGGGCAGCUCAUCCGGGGUUCUCCCCGGUGCACUCUGCCCAGUUCAGGCCAGCAUCGAUUUUUGCUGGGGGAUAAGAACAGUAGGAACGUGGCCCUCCUUCGGGCGGGUGUUAUAGCCUACUGUACGAUACCCUGGCGGAGAUCGAGGUUCGCGCAUCUGCAAGGAUGCUGGCGUAAUGGUCAUCAGCGA